Small nuclear RNA from Chrysemys picta bellii (western painted turtle), 108 nucleotides. The record is from Ensembl. NCBI's taxonomy places the organism in Eukaryota, Metazoa, Chordata, Testudines, Emydidae.
GAACUUAAUUCGGCAGCACAUAUACUAAAAUUGGAAUGAUACAGAGAAGAUUAGCAUGGCCCCUGCACAAGGAUGACACACAAAAUUUGUGAAGUAUUCCCUAUUUGG